GGCCGCGCCCGCUCGCCAUCACGCAGCCUCCUGGGAGGGCGACUCGGCCGCGCGGGCCUCGGGCGCCUUGCAAGAGGCCGGUGGGCUAGGGGCUGGCGGGUGCGGGUGUACACACGCACACACUCCCCGCGCGGGGCGCUCGGCGUCUGUCUCCUCCCGCUUGCCGUAGGAGGCGGCGCGGCGCCGACAGUGGGCAACCACUACCGCUUCGGCGGACUGGGGCCGCGGAGCAGGGGCCGAGGUCUCCGGGGGCAGGUGAGUUUCCCGCCCCGAGGCCCUUGGACUAUCCGCACUGCCCGGAGACCCCGCCUGCGGCCUGUCCGCGGUUCACCUCGGCGGCCUUCCCUGUCCUCGUGGGUGGCAGGCGGCCCCGCGUCGUGCGCCCCAGUGUGUGGUGCCGAAGCGCUGGCAGGUUUCCUAGUCUGAGGCACGCACCGUUACUGUGAGGCUGUAGACUCUUCACUCAGGAAAAGCCUACCCCCUGUGACUCACGGUCCUCCUCACCUGACUGCCGAUCCCGCUCGUCCUGUAAGCUCCCCAGCGAUGUGAGACGGUGAAAGGAAAGCAAAGUGGACUUCAUGCUAUCUAUCUGGUUUCUCCUCGCCCACCCUCUACUUGUGUGACCUUGGGAAGAUCACAGUACUUCUGGGUCCUGCUUUUCUUAACUGUAAAGUGGGGUGUGGACGAGAUGUCUCAGGUUUAUCUUCAAACCCUGAAAUGUGUGGGUUUGAAGAGUGGAAGAUGUUAAGUUAAGCAUUGUUCUGCCUACACAGGAAUACUGUCCACAUCACAGGCUUAGAAAAUUUUUUGGUUUCUCUUUUUUGUCAUUCCACUGUUCUUGUUUCUUAUUCCCUGCUCUGCCCUACAUACCUUUUUUUUUUUUUAAUCUACAUUUAAGUAGAGUUUUUUGUUGUUUUUUUUUUGCCACCUCACACAGCAUUCUGAAUCUUAGUUCCCUGACCAGGGAUGGAACCCAUUCCCCCUGCACUGGAAACUUGGAGCCUUAACCACCGGACCACCAGGAAAGUCCCAGGGUUUUUGUUUUUGUUUUUGUUUUUAAUUCAAGCUGGCUGAGUACAUUCUUUAAUUGCCUUCUCUUCCUAAAACCCUGUUAAAAUGCUCAUAAAGAAAUGAAAAAUGAUACAAAUCAGUACAGAACAGAAAAUGGGAAGGGAGCCACCAAAAUUUUUUUUUUUUAAUUUUACACCGAGAAAGUGAGUGUGGUCUGAUUAAACAAAAUGGAAGAAACCAUAGUUUGGAAUAGGUGUAGGGAAUGAGUACUGCAGUUGAGGAAGGAGGCCUAGCAGCCAGAAGUGAUUUAAAGAAACUGAAAUUUGGAGACAUCAGCACAACAGACCAAGAGUGAGAAGCAGGGACGAAAACAAGGAAACUAAAUAAAGGUUUCUAUGUAGAACAGCAGUACCCUAGCCCUCCCCACCCCAUACCUCAGAUACAAUAGCUAGGCAUUUAUCCCAGGCUAAAAAUCAAGUUCUUGUAAUCUCUGGGGAGCAUUUAAUGACUAAGAGUAAAGCAUUCUUUAUUCUGGCACAAUAGCCAGCUUCCUACCCAUUCACCCUAGAGUGAAAUUGGCAAGACCCUCCCAAGUUCUAAAGAUUCGUCAUCAGCGUCCAACUAUUUCAUCUUAAAUAUGAACAGAUAACCAAGGGCUGUUAGAUAUUUAAGGGAAGUCUCCAGCUUGGGGCUGACAGAGGAGAAAAUGUGACCACAGAGGAAAAAGACACUUCGGAGAACUUAAAAAAAAUAUAGUAUGCGCCCAACUUAUUACAGCUAUGAAACAAGGAUAAUAUACUCAUAUAAGUUAACACUCCAGGAACAAAAAGUAAGUCUUAAAUUAAAAAUAAGAAGUUGCCAAAAUUGUAAAUUCACUUUUGUUGAAAGAUAAAGUCCAUGAAGUUUUAAGGAAAA
Long non-coding RNA from Bubalus bubalis (water buffalo), 1926 nucleotides. RefSeq lists it as uncharacterized. The transcript is spliced from 2 exons. Lineage: Eukaryota; Metazoa; Chordata; Mammalia; Artiodactyla; Bovidae. The record is from RefSeq and is a predicted model, not a curated record.